Molecule: long non-coding RNA, 4205 nt
Organism: Meriones unguiculatus (Mongolian gerbil)
Lineage: Eukaryota; Metazoa; Chordata; Mammalia; Rodentia; Muridae
Exons: 3
Source: RefSeq, a predicted model, not a curated record
UCUCUCUGGGCUUACUUUUUUUUUUUUUUAAUUCCAUUUGAAAAAUGGAGACAUUAGACCAGCUCCUAACAGUUCUCUCCUGUACAAAUGUACUCUUCCAUCCAGUCUUCCAUCCACUCCCGUACAUGGUUUUUUAGCACCUCCCAAUCUCUAACAGGAACUGCACAGGAAGACUGAGUCCCUCACACAUGGUGAGAAGACAUCCCUGCAAAACAGGAGAGGCCCCAAAGCGGGUCAGCAGUAUGAGGGCUGGACAUGAGUCAGAUGCCUGCAAGUGAAGGAGCAGAAAGAGCCCAAGGAAAAGGCUGAGUAGUCUCUGUCACCAUGACGUGGGUUUCCUGUUCCUCAGGCCCAGAUGGCAAACUUCAAGACUAUCAAGGACACGGAGUGCCGUGAUCGGCCCCUGCGCCUGGUGCUCCAGUUCUGAGCCUGGCCUUGCCAUCCUGAUGCUGUAACCUUCGUCAGGUUUCUUUACUCACUUAGCUGUGCUUCCGCUGGAAAAUGUUAUUUCUUUUUUGGACCUAUCCUGCUGCCUAGACAGUAUUGUCACGAAGCUUCCUUCUUCAACUGUGAUCCUUGCUUUCCAGCACUCCUGACUCUGCUGCAGUCCUCCCCACACUCUGCAGUAAGUCUUCCACAACAGUCUGGUUGGGACCACAGAGCACAGGAGUGUGGAGGGAGCACUCAGUCUCCUGAUCCUGCCUUUGCUGAGCAGAAAAGCCUGGCUCUGAACUACCACACCUUCUGUUCCCAUUUUCCUUACAGUGAGAAGCUCCUCCUGGGGACCACCUUCAGUUCCUUGUGGCCCUCACCUCACUGCCUCACUGCCCCAUAUUAGCUCUAACACAUCCUUUAUCAUGUAGAGCCAAUCCCUAUGUGAGAUCAACAUCCCUAAGACAUGUUUCCAUUAGUUAGCUCAAGAAGUAACAUAUCACUUCUUAGCCUUUGGGUGAUGGCCAUGACAACUUUGACAUUUAUUACUCUUAUAAAUACCCUUUUUUGUCUCUCAUCAUAUAGUCAAGAUUGUGCUAUCCCUUGGCUGCUGUAUCCCUGGGGGCCAGAGCAUCCACUUUAUUUGCCAAAUCAGUGUUGGAACUUCAGAGUCGUCCUGAACCAAACUACCUAAGGAGGCUAUUAAUAGCCUAAUGUCCCUGUAGAGCUUAAAUACUUAUUAUCUUGGUACCAUAAAUUCCAAGGGAGGCACACAGUGUCAAGGUAGCAAAGUAUGCUGUUCCAGCCUGGACCAUGGCCUCUCCAUCCUUGCUAGAUACACACACAGGUGAAUUCACCCUCACUGCUCUACACCUGAAUUGUUCCUGCCAGUUUGAGAGCCAUGAGUGACAUCAUGACAUCACGUGGUUUCCCUUUUUGAAACCAGAAACAACUGACUUGAUGCCUCCAAGACUACCCCUAGAUCUCCAUGUCAAGCUUACAAAUGAAGACUCCCAGAGUCCUAAAACCAUGGGUAAACGUUUAUAACAUGAACUCAAGAGAAGAAGCAAGUGCUUCUCUUGGGGUCUGGAGGUGGAGGGGUCGGAAAGUGUUACUCCCUGUCUCUUAGGCUGAGCCAGCAAAGUAGUAUUUUCCUUAUCAAGAGCAAGGCCUGUGACUUGCCUCACCCUCCUAGCAUAAAACAUUGCUCAACUAACAAGGUCACGAGCACUCCAGUUCUUCCAUUUUGCAGCAACUUCUGAGGUCAAGAUCAUGGCUAUACUUCUAACAGAGAAACAGGAAGAUAAAACCUGUUAGCCAUGUGUUUCUGCUUAAUCUGAAAUAUUUCCCCGGGCUCAUGGUUGUACAUACACACACACACACACACACACACACACACACAGAGGAAUGCUGUCUUUUGACUAAAAAAAUUGUUUACCCAUAAUGCACUUUUAAAAACAAAGUUAACAGUACCCCAAGUCUGAUACCUAGGGAUAGACCCUCUUCCUCUUUCUUGGCUAGUUUUAUGUCAACUUGAAUACCAGCUAGAGUCAUUUGGGAAGAAAACUCUCAAGAAAAUGCCUGCAUAAGAUAUAUCUGGUGGCAAAUCUGUAGGACAUUUUUUAAACUACUGAUUGAUGUGUAAGGACCAGCCCAGUAUAGGUGGUGCCAUGCCUGGGUUGUAAGAAAGCAAAAGACUGGUGGCCCUAAGUAGGUCAAGAGGGAAAAAGCCAGUAAGCAGCAUUUCUCCAUGGACUUUGUAUCAGUUCCUGCCUCCGGAUUCCUGCCGUGAGUCUCUGCCCUGAUCCUUCAGUGACUAUGGUGUAAAAGUGUAAGCUGGAAUAAAGCCUUGUCUCCCCAAGUAGGAUUUGAUAAUGGCAUUUAAUCACAGCAAGAGAGACCGUAACUAGGACACCCUCAUUGCCUGGUUUGCUUAGAAGUCCAGGAUUUGACGUCAGAAGAAAUGAGACAAGGAACCUGGCUUCGACUUUAACUGCGUGCUUAACCUGGAGCAAACAUUUGCCGGGACUGUACUGCCUAACAUACAAGACACAAAGUUGUUCACACCAGGUUUGUGAAGAUGAGAGUAAUAAAGCCCAUGAUAUAUAUAUAUAUUCAUUUAAACAACAUAUAUUCAUUUAAGCAACAUAUAUAUUCAUUUAAAAAAGACUUCCAAACACUUGUUUAUUUAUUAUUUGGCCGCAUGUGUGUGCCGGUAUGAAUUUACGUGCCCUAUGUGUGUGCAGGAACCCGCAGAGGCCAGAAGAAGGAUGAAGGCACCCUGGAACUGGAGUUAUAGGAGGAUGUGAGUGUUGUGAGUGUUGGGAAUGAAAGCCUGCUUUUCUGCGUGAGUAGCAAACACCUUUCACGGCCCCUUACGCUAGAUCUUUACUGCAGGAAGUCUGGAACACUCACGAGCUCUGGGAAGAGUAGGCUUCCCCUUUGAAUGCUACUGGACACACUCCUUUUAUUGUUAAUGAGCACGAGCAGGCAGGAGGAGGGGGCUGCAGGUUAUAUCUACAGGAGGUCUGAACCAUUCUCUCGGUGAGGCCUGGCCUGUACCUGCACUAUGCCAGGAGGAAGCGAGCUUUCCACCACUAGACACAUUUGAUAAAUAACUACCUAACAGAGGAGCAGUGGAGAAAAUGGAAACACCACCUAGAUCAGAGGUUCUCAACCUGAGGGUUGCAGCCCCUUCGGGGGUCCACUGAAACCCAAGGAUUCUGCAGGACACUUUAGUUCUCUCUUGAGAGUGCAUGAAAUCAUGCUGAAGGCGUAAGAAAGACAUUCACACAGCAGAGCUCCGUGUGUUUCAGCAGACAGGCCAGGUGCAGGAACCUGCCUCAUGCUUCGGAGUGGCAUAAGUGUCCACACUGCACAUGCUGCUACUACUUACUUGCCCUUUCCCAGUGGUCUGUGUGCCCACAUGUUGUCUACUCGGAAAGCCAGGUCGGAUUCCCCAAGCCUGAUGUUCAAACUGCUCCUUAUGACUCCAGUCAGUGUAACCAACCGAUGAGACCUUCUGGUCACCUAACCAACCAUCUCUCUCUAGCCUCCACCCCACACUGGAUUGUCCUCUCACCCACCUCUGUAUGUCGGAGGCCCAUUCAUCCUUCUAGGCACAGUUUCAAUGCUGCUGACUCCAGCAACCCUUUCCCACCUACGGUCAGCAGGAAUGAUUUCCUCUGCCCUGCCCUGACUUCAUCUCUCCUUCCCUUUCAAGCCUUAGUAUUAGAGCUAACUGGGGACACACUCACACACAAUCCCUCAAGUCUGAAUUCCUUAAGAAGUUCUACGUCCCUCUGCUCCUUCACCCUCUCUUCACGGCCCUUCACAAUUCUCAGCACCAGGAAGUGCUUUCAGUUGAAUGAGCAAAUAAAUCAAUUUUUCCCUUCCAAACACAGAAGCCACCAGCCAAUUGGCUCAGUCAAUCCUUCUCCCCCCUGGGGUCUGGUCUGGAACACAGACAGAGACCUGAGAGAUGUCAGCAAGUAGAGAUCACGGGAAAAUGAGAAGCACAGGGGAACACUCGGCCAGUAACGAUGACGUCACAGAAUGCAGAACUAGGACCCAGGAUCGGUGACACAUCCGUGAACCCAGCAUUGGAGUGUAUGAGAUGGGAAGGAAGAUCCAGCCUGAGGUACACAGUGAAGACCCUAUCUCAAAAAGAAAUAAAACAAAAUACCCCUAAACCCAUAAGUUACUGAUUAGUCACCAUAUUUGAACAGAGAACAUAUUUGUGAAGGCUGUUAUUUGGCAUUUCUAUUAAACAU